CCAAACACAUACACUUAAUAAAUUGAGUGCCUAACAUAGGUAAGAUCCUUCCAAACAGUCGUGUGAAGAAUGGAUUGGACAGGAGAGAUUGGAAGCACAAAGAUUAGUUAGGAAUCUAUUGCAAUACUCAAGACAAGCUAAAUAUUUACUGAGCUUUGUUAUGGCUUUGCUUUGGCCGUUUCAGUCCUGCUUAGUUUUGGGGUGGGGUUUGUGGAGCAAAGCUGGUAUUUGAGUUGUUCUGGCAAAUUCUUCUGAAUUACAGUGUUUACUUUCUUUUUCUGCUUUACCUUUCCUUUGCUUUCUUUGGUCAACCAAUUAAAAUAAAAGUUGUCUUCUAGAAACUUCAAUUUACUUAGAGUUUAGCUGGGAAACAAAAUACUAAGACAGGAAAAGUAAUAACAAAAUGGUAAAGCAGCAUAGGAGUUACCUGAGUGAGGCUUGGGAUUAUUAUGGAAAUCAAUGGAAUCUGACAGGAAGUUAUACAAGUUCAUGAGCCUAAGAGGUGACUGUGGGCUGUGUAGCUUGGGAAAUUUUUAUGAAGAGCUUGGCCUUGAAUGAUAGGCUGAGAACUAGAAAGACAUUCAUGGAAAGAGAAAUUCUAAGAAAGGCAGAGUUGCAAGAAAGUCUUAAUUUUCUUAUCUUUUCCUUUUAUCCCUCUGCUCUUCAAAGUACAGAGCUGUCUGGGUUAUGAGCAGGGUGGGGAGGUGUUAUCUCUGAAUGGGGGAGGUGAUUCCACUUCCUUUUUUCCCGUUCCUCAAGGCUUAGCCAGACCUGAAAUGCUAGUCCAACAUGUUGAAUUACUACUGUUUUCAAGUCUAGCCAAAGUUCAUGUUAACGAACCACUUAAAUUUCAAACAAGAACUAACAUUGAAUAUAUUUUAAUUUUAAAUUCAUAGGGAGUUUCAUUUUUCCUUCCAGAAAUAUUAUUUAAAUGGAAGAACUCUCUGUAUUCUUUAAAUUAUCCUGAAAGCCAUGAGGAAAAAUUAAAAUCCCUCACAUGAAAGGAGAGUUAGAGAAAGAUGUUUAUAAUUGAGGGCAGAUAGGUUUGCAACAUACUGAUUUGAGUGGUUUAUAUGCAUGAAUAUUUUCAUUUAUUCCUUGCAGUAGCCAUAUGAGGCAAUACUACAAGAUCAUCCCAAUUUUGUAGACAGAAAACUAUGGUAAAGUUACAUACUUAAUGUCCCACAAGUGAAAAAUGAUGGAGCCAGUUAUCAAACCAAAGUUGACUGACUCCCACUAAGUUCCUUGAGAAGUUAUGUAACUGAUCUGGUUCCUUGUCGGUAAAAUCUGGGAGGUUGAAUUAGAUAAUCUUGACAUUUGCCCUCAUGUUAAAAAUUAAGUGUUUGGUUCACAUCCUCAAUUCCUGCUCUUUUCACAUGACUCAAGCUUGAAGCUCUCUCUCCUCACUUCCAAAGGCACUAAUUCUCCCUUCACAGAAAUUUUGACAUUAAUUGUUCUGGGUUUUUGAAUGACUUAGAGGAUUAGAUUCUAGGUCAGUGAUGAAUGACUUCUGCCUUGGAUUUUCAAUCUUCCCAAUUUUUCCAAGUGAUAGAGGACCUAUAUUUAGGAUUCAGUUUAGAAAACUGACUGUAUUAUGACAAUCCUUAACAUGUUAGUGAAUAAGAAGGGGCUCCAGUUUUCUCACUGACAUUUAACAGGUAAUCUGCGUGAAUGUAUCUACCCUCACAAAAGACCAAAUGUAGCUAUUCUCAGGUUGAAUUUUUUUUUUAAGUGGACUGUAAACAAUUUUUCCUGAGUUGGUCUAAAUAAAAUGGAAAAUGGUCCCCCUUGCAUCAGCUCAUGACUUGUGUAUCAACGGUCUUGUAGGACUCGUGACUAUUCCUCGUUUCCCAGCUGCCUCAGUCACUGGAGAGAAGAGAGGUGAGGCCUGGUUUAGAAGCAGAAUAAAAACUGCUUGUUCCCCAGGAGUUUCGUGUCUAGGUUUUGACUGGAAGAAUUUCAACCCAGCUCUGAGUUCCAUGAUUGUCCAUGCCUUCUGAAAUGGGCGUGCAGCAGCUGCCCUCACUCACCACCACCACCUCCUCCACCAUCUCCACCUCCUCCAGACUUCAUGAAAGAAGUUAACUUUCAGAGGCUGUCUCUUAAGUACACACAUGGUGUAACAAUUAAAAUGUCGUAGGGACACAAAGUUUUCCAUUCCAGAACUAGAUGCAAAGGUCAAAGUGCCAAUACCCCCAAUCCCCAAGAAAGAGAGUAGCCCACUGAUGAUUCACUUAUAGAAAAGUGUAAAUGAGAGAGGAGCAGGACAGAGAGUCUUCUAGUGGAAAUCCCAAAAAGAGAAAAGACAGAAUUAGAGUUGAGAUCUACAGACAAAUUUUGUGUACUUAAUUAUUUUUGUUUAAUAAACUGAAAGAUUCCAUGCAUUUAGUGUUUUCUGUCUUAAAAAAAUUAAGUAUUUUUGGUCUUAAAUAACAAUAAAGAGGCAGCUAACAGAGCCAUUGAUUGAAUCUGUGAGACGCCAAGAGCUCUUUUGUUACUUCAUUGUCCAUGUUCCCCCCAUAAAUGUAAAACAUCUAGGAGUUCCCAUUGUGGCUCAGCGGUUAAUGAACCCAACUAGUAUCCAUGAGGAUGCAGGUUUGAUCCCUGAUCUUGUCCAGUGGGUUAGGGAUCUCGUGUUGCCAUGAACUGUGGUGUAGGUCACAGAUGCAGCUCAAAUCCCAGGAUGCUGUGGCUGUGGCUACAGCACCAAUUUGACCCCUAGCCAGGAAACCUCCAUAUGCUGUGGGUUCAGUCCUAAAAAGACCAAAAUAAAUAAAUAAAUAAAUAAAUAAAGCAUCUAAAUUUAGGGUUUUGUUUUGUUUUGUUUUGUUUUAAAAAGGACCCAAUAUGUACUUCUUUUAUGAUAUACAAUAAAUUACAGGAAAAACUUGGGAAGAAAGGUUGAGGUGAAGGUGGGUAUUUUGGGAUAGGAAGGUUUAUUUUCAGGAUUUAGGCCCUCAUUUUGUUCAAGCGGUGGUGUUCACAACACACAGGAAUAAGAGAGAAGUGUGGUCAGAAUGUGGCCUUGGAAUUCAGGGAUACACCGCUGAGGUGCAGGGAGGAUGGACCAAGAAGCAGAAUGGUCUCUUCUGGAAUGUGGUAAAAUGGAAUGUUGAUAAGGUCCUAAAGUUAGAAACUUUGGAAUGUUUUAUAUCUUCUAUAUUUGCCCUUUGUUUUUCUUUCUUCAUGUUUCGCUUUUCUUUUCUGCAGCAAUCUACGAAAAUUCUAAACCAUUUUUAUCACCUUUAUUUUUUUUCUCUUAUGUGUAUGAUUUAGCCUUCUGUAUUAAAAUGCAUCUAAGGGUGGUUCCUCUCUUCCAUUAUAUUAGCUCUGGAAAAUAUUUUUUGAGCCCACACUCUAGGUAAAUAUCCAUCUGGACUGAAACCCUUUGCCCCUGGAUGGUGCCUGUGGGUCUGCCAAGAGAAAUGCUGCUUGCAGUUGUUUUUUGGAAAACAGAAGGGUACUUCUGCUAGUUUCAAAAACUAAUAGUUAUUAAAUAGAGUUUUUCUGAGAGACUUCCAGGCAGUAGAUGAACCUCUUACAUUUUAUAGCAAUGUUUGACUUCACUGAAAGGCCAAGGAGCAAAGUUUGAAUAUAUUGGAGAAAGGUAAAUUAGUGCUAAAUACUCUAUAUAGGGUUAGGAUAUUGGUUAUGUAGGCCUUUGAUAAAUUAAAGAAAGGGGAAUGGAGCAAAGGAACAUUUAAAUUGAUUUUUCAAGUCAAUUUGAUUUGUGAAAGCUAGAGGAGAAUUUAAGUUCCAAUAUGAUUUAUUCACAAUGAUUGGAUUUAGUUCUCAUACCUAUGUAUAUGAUUCUAAAUAUUUUUAGUUGCAGCCAGAGUACAAAAGCCCUUGAAGGAGUUAAAUACAAAAUAAAAAUAUAUUUGAGCCUACCAUGCACAGUCGGCCUUUUAGCUCAUGUUACAUGAUGAGCAUCCUCUGGUUUACUUAUUAGCAUACACUAAAAUUCCACUGUGGUCUUUUCUCCAGAAACUUACCUGCUAAGAAUAAAAUACAAAUAGAUGUCUUAUUUCUUUAUUUGGCUGUUUCUUUCUUUCUUUUCUUUCUUUUUUUUUUUUUUUUGUCUUUUCAAAUAGAGGAUACCUAUUUCUAAUUUUUUGUCUGCAUUUUAGUUAAAAGUCUUCAUUUUAGUCUCAUUUUAGCUAAAAAUCUACAUUUCAGUCUCAAAAGAGAUUCAAAUGGAUAAAGAAGAGUUUCCAAUUCAAUGGCGUAAAUAGCCCACCACAUUGUCCAUCCUAUCUCCCCUGCUAAAAAUUUAGGGUUUCAACAUACUACUUUUCAAGUAAGAAGAAGCCUUCUCACUAGUAACAAACCACAAAUUCAGUUCUCUUAAGUGUCAUACAGAUUAGGACAAACACAAGGAGUCUAAGGGCAAUCCUAAGUACUUCUACAGAGAAGACACAUCUACCCUAAUCAUGAUGUUAGUUUGCAUCAAUCUACACAGUUCGGUACUGACAGGAAUCACCUUUUUCUAAAUCUUAAGUGAUGAGGAAAAUGAACAAGGUUGGGUGGAGCUCAGAAAUAAACACAAGUUACAUAGCAUGUACAGGCAUGAUUUGGACUGGUAUCCGUUAAUAUGAGCUGUGAGGGAGGAGGGGACAUAUUUGUAAACGAUUUGCAAACUGACUAUUGCAAAGAAUUGUCAAGCAACACAAUGAAAGAUGGACUAUAGUUAUACAAAUAAGCUGUGCCGAAUUUUUUUUCCCAUUGUUAAAUGUAAAAGACAGCAGAAUUGUUUGAUUUCUCGUGACUUCACAAUUCUCCCUUGUCUCAAGAGUAGUUUAAGUUAUCCAUCCACCCCAGAAUUCUGUAUACUAAGGGUGGAGUGUGGGCUUUGUGAUUUACUGAGUCCUCUGCUGGGCUUUUUUUUUUUUUUUGACUCAAUAUUUUGACUCACUAUGUGAAUUCUGACUAAUUGCUUGGUACCUUCAGGCCACUGGUUUCCCCCAGCAGCACAGUUAAGUGCUUACUUGCAAAAAUGCUUGUGUGUGAAAAUGUGUGUGAAAGACGCACUUUAAAAUAAUUCAUAACAGAAAGAAUACUUAUAAUUCUAACAUAUUUUAAAGAAAUGUGUUUAAAGCUUUUAGUUUUCAUGUGAGCUGUUAAAGUGACUUCAUGCCACCCAGACUGUUUCCUCUUCUUCUUCCUAGGGGUUAAAUUUAUGAUAAUUACAUGUAGCUUUGCAUUUAGCAUUUGAAGAGAUUUCAUCAAACUCUACUGGUUCCUACAGGAUAGGAUAGGCUCACUUUCACUUUUACAGCACUGUGAUGUUCUCAUGGAUGUGUUUGGUGAUUCCAGAUUUAUUAUUCUAAUUAGAGCUAAUGAGCAAAGAGCUUUGCAAGGAAAUUUGCCUUACUUGCUAAAGGAGGACAAAUUAUCAGCUUCCAAGAUACAUCACUUGUUUUUGAGACCCUUUAACUCACCAGCAGAGGCCUAUCCUAGCCAAGUUAAAUCAGUUUUCCGAGAAGGGCACUGACUGCUACCUUUAAAACAAGUAACUCUCCCGCAAUUUUAAGGAGUUUGCCUGGCAGAAUCCAAAUGAUUUGGAAUUCUUUUAAAUUAGUGUUCUCUUUAGCCACUUCUUCGACCGUCUCUUACUAUUUCUAAGACAGCAAAAUAUGAAGGAAACUACUGACUAGUCUCUCGUUACCACCCAAACAGAUUGGAAAUAAUUUAACGUAAAGAAAAUAUAGGAGUUCCCAUCGUGGCGCAGCAGAGACGAAUCCAACUAGGAACCAUUAGGUUGUGGGUUCGAACCCUGGCCUUGCUCAGUGGGUUAAGGAUCGAGUGUUGCCGUGAACUGUGGUGUAGGUCAUAGAUGCGGCUCGGAUCUGGCAUUUCUGUGGCUGUGGUAGCUCAGAUUAGACCCCUAGCCUGGGAACCUUCAUAUGCCACAGGUGCAGCGCUGAAAAGACAAAAAAAAAAAAAAAAAA
Molecule: long non-coding RNA, 5951 nt
Filed under: Sus scrofa (pig)
Lineage: Eukaryota; Metazoa; Chordata; Mammalia; Artiodactyla; Suidae
Description: lncRNA (ENSSSCG00015023462.1)
Source: RNAcentral